GAUGAAGAACGCAGCGAAAUGCGAUAAGUAAUGCGAAUUGCAGAAUUCAGUGAGUCAUCGAAUCUUUGAACGCACAUUGCGCCCCUUGGUAUUCCGAGGGGCAUGCCUGUUCGAGCGUCAUUAUAACCCCUCAAGCUCAGCUUGGUGUUGGGGCCUGCCGCACGGGCAGCCCUUAAAAUCAGUGGCGGUGCCAUCUGGCUCUAAGCGUAGUAAUUCUUCUCGCUAUAGAGUCCCGGUGGAUGCUUGCCAUUAACCCCCAAUUUUCUAUGGUUGACCUCGGAUCAGGUAGGGAUACCCGCUGAACUUAAGCAUAUCAAUAAGCGGAGGA
This 328-nucleotide unclassified non-coding RNA is filed under the name soil metagenome. RNAcentral's name for it is "partial contains 5.8S ribosomal RNA, internal transcribed spacer 2, and large subunit ribosomal RNA". The stretch from base 1 to 120 matches the Rfam family "5.8S ribosomal RNA", at positions 35 to 154 of the family's 154-position model. The record is from RNAcentral.